AACCUGGUUGAUCCUGCCAGUAGUCAUAUGCUUGUUUCAAAGAUUAAGCCAUGCAUGUCUAAGUACCUGCCGACCUAAGGUGAAACCGCGAAUGGCUCAUUAAAUCAGUCUUAAUUUACGGGAUGUUGGAAAAUCCUUACUCGGAUAACUGUGGUAAUUCUAGAGCUAAUACGUGCAAUUCGUCUCCGACCUCGAGGACGAUUCGUUCCUCGACGGGAAGGGCGCAUUUAUUAGACCAAAACCGGGUCGUGGACGUUAACGCGUUCCUAUCGGAAAAGUCUUUUUUAAGAUUCUACGUAGCGUACGCGGUCCACGCCUUUUACGGUAACUUGGUGAUUCUGGAUAACUAUUGGCCGAGCGCUGAGGUCUUAGCACCGGCGCCGUAUCCUUCGAGUGUCUGCCUUAUCAGCUCUCGAUUGUAGGAUAUUUGCCUACAAUGGCUGUAACGGGUAACGGGGAAUCAGGGUUCGAUUCCGGAGAGGGAGCCUGAGAAACGGCUACCACAUCUAAGGAAGGCAGCAGGCGCGCAAAUUACCCAAUUCCGGCACGGAGAGGUAGUGACGAAAAAUAACGAUACGGGGACUCUUCUGAGCCUCCGUAAUCGGAAUGAGUUCGCUGUAAACACGCGGGCGAGGAUCCAUUGGAGGGCAAGUCUGGUGCCAGCAGCUGCGGUAACUCCAGCUCCAAUAGCGUAUACUAAAGUUGCUGCGGUUAAAAAGCUCGUAGUUGGAUUUCUAAUGCGGGCCGGGAGGCCCUCGUCUAGAGGCGCGCCCUCGUCCCCCGCUCUCUCGGUCCGCGUCGUGGUCUUCGGUUAAAGGUCGUUCGAAAUCCCCCACUAGCUCCCUUUCCCUCUCGCAGGGUUAGGAGCAGAGGGCGGUCAUUCUCGUUCGUCCUCGAAUUCGUCGUCGUGGUCUCGGAAGCGCGGUGGGUUCGGGUAAGCGCGCUGGACGGGUCUAUGCUCUCGGUUCCGCGUUGCUUAUGCCGCCGGCUGUCACGGGGUGCUCUUCACCGAGUGUCUCGCGGAGCCGGCAAAGUUCACUUUGAAUAAAGUAGAGUGCUCAAAGCAAGCAAUGAAAUUUUUUGAACACGCCUGGAUGGUAGCGCAUUGAAUGAUGGAACAGGACCUCGGUUCUGCCUUUUUUCAAGCCCGGUUUUUUUGAUACCGAGGUAAUGAUUAACGGGAACGGACGGGGGCAUUAGUAUUGCGGGGCGAGAGGUGAAAUUCUUGGACCCUCGUAAGACUAACUACUGCGAAAGCAUUUGCCAAGAAUGUUUUCAUUAAUCAAGAACGAAAGUUAGAGGAUCGAAGGCGAUCAGAUACCGCCGUAGUUCUAACCGUAAACGAUACCAACCUGCGAUCCGCCGUCGUCAUUCCCACGACACGGCGGGAAGUACCCGGGAAACCAGAGUUUUUGGGUUCCGGGGGAAGUAUGGUUGCAAAGCUGAAACUUAAAGGAAUUGACGGAAGGGCACCACAAGGAGUGGAGCCUGCGGCUUAAUUUGACUCAACACGGGAAAACUCACCAGGUCCGGACACCGAAAGGAUUGACAGAUUGAGAGCUCUUUCUCGAUACGCGUGGAUGGUGGUGCAUGGCCGUUCUUAGUUGGUGAAGCGAUUUGUCUGGUUGAUUCCGAUAACGAACGAGACUCUUACGUACUAAUUAGUCGGCGGAUCGUUUCCCCGAGAGGGGCUUUAAUCCGUCGUCGGGCGUUCGGUCGGGGACGGCCGUUUUUCAGCAUCUCGUCUUGCGUGGCGUCGUUCCCGGGCGUCUUCUCUUCUUGUAGGAGGGGGCGUUCGGGGUCGAAGCGGCGUUUUCGCGGGCGAAUCCGGUGGCGGCCUACUCGUCCAGCCCGCGGCGGUGGAGCUCAGCGAGGGGGUGUCCGUCGUGUUCAAAUCUUCUUAGAGGUAUCGGCAGUGUCUAGCUGCAAGAAAAAGAGCGAUAACAGGUCUGUGAUGCCCUUAGAUGUCCUGGGCCGCACGCGCGCUACAAUGUAGGGAUCAACGCGUUUUUCCCCUCCGAAAGGAGCGGGUAAUCGGUUGAAACCCCUACUCGGUUGGGAUUGGGGAUUGGAAGUGUUUCCCAUGAACGAGGAAUUCCUAGUAAGCGCGAGUCAUUAGCUCGCGCUGAAUGCGUCCCUGCCCUUUGUACACACCGCCCGUCGCUACUACCGAUGGAAUGAUUCAGUGAGGGCAUCGGACUGGCGCCUCCGGUUAGCCGUCGAUCGCAUCAAACUUCGUCGUCGCCUUCGCGGCUUCGGCGGGGGCGGUCUCCGGCACCCUUGGCUCGACGGAAAGAUGUCCGAACUGGAUUAUUUAGAGGAAGUAAAAGUCGUAACAAGGUUUCCGUAGGUGAACCUGCGGAAGGAUCA
RNAcentral lists this ribosomal RNA (2370 nucleotides) under Porcellionides pruinosus. RNAcentral's name for it is "SSU rRNA". It matches the Rfam family "Eukaryotic small subunit ribosomal RNA". The record is from RNAcentral. Lineage: Eukaryota; Metazoa; Arthropoda; Malacostraca; Isopoda; Porcellionidae.